CAGCCGCCGCGGUAAGACAGAGGAUGCAAGCGUUAUCUGGAAUGAUUGGGCGUAAAGCGUCUGUAGGUGGCUUUUCAAGUCCGCCGUCAAAUCCCAGGGCUCAACCCUGGACAGGCGGUGGAAACUACCAAGCUGGAGUACGGUAGGGGCAGAGGGAAUUUCCAGUGGAGCGGUGAAAUGCGUUGAGAUCGAAAAGAACACCAACAGCGAAAGCACUCUGCUGGGACGACACUGACGCUAAGAGACGAAAGCUAGGGAAGCAAAUGGGAUUAGAUACCCCCGUAGUCCCUGUCUCUUAUAC
Molecule: ribosomal RNA, 301 nt
Filed under: uncultured bacterium
Lineage: Bacteria
Description: partial 16S ribosomal RNA
Rfam family: Bacterial small subunit ribosomal RNA
Source: RNAcentral